RNAcentral lists this transfer RNA (72 nucleotides) under Rhizoctonia solani AG-1 IB. The record is from RNAcentral. Lineage: Eukaryota; Fungi; Basidiomycota; Agaricomycetes; Cantharellales; Ceratobasidiaceae.
UUUCCUUAGUUUAAAUGGUAGAAUAUCAUUAUUACGAAAAUGUAUGAUUUGGUUCGAUUCCAAAAGGGGGAU